GUGAAGACAGAGGUGGAGCUGCACAGUAGUAUCCUCAGAAGCAGAGGCACAGGAAUUCAGUCUUUAUAGUUUAGACAUGCCUCAGAGCAUUUAUGAUGAUGUGGCCUUCAUUGAGGAUCUGAACAGAAGAGAGCGAGUGGAGAUGGUGGUGGAUAUCUAUGAAAGUGCAGAUGCUGUUAAGAUCAUGAAGAGGCAGAACAUGCUAACGCAGAGAGGAAACCAAGAAUGCAAACCACAGUUUCAGAUCCUGUCCCAGCCUGCAGCUGAUCUCACGAUCCCUCUUCCCAUCACUCAUAAACAAGACCCCAAGAUACUUAAACUCCUCCACCUUGGGCAGGUCCUUUUCCCCCUUACCUGGAGUGGGCAUGCCAUCCUUUUCUGGGCUAAGACCAUAGACUCAGACUGGCGGUGCUGAUCCGCAUACCAACCGCUCCACACUCAGCUGCAAACCACUCCAGCGAGCGCUGAAGGCAUCCAUGUGAUUUCUUGUCACUGAACAACAUUUGCAAAUGGCAGAGAUGCCACCCUCCGGCCUCUACACAUAAUGCCCUCCUGAUCCCGGCUACGCCCCGACACUGUCCAUGAAGAUCACAAGCAGGAGUGGAGAUGGGGCACAACCCUGGCUGAGUCCAACGCUAACACUGAAGGAGUCUGACUUAAUGCCGAGUAUAUGGACACAGCUCUCGCUCUGGGAGUACAGAGACUGGAUGGCCUGGAGUAGUAGCCCCGGAGGACCUCCCACAAGAUAUCUUUAAUGCACAUGUAAGCCUUGUCCAAAUCCACAAAACGCAUGUAGACUGGGUUGGUAAACUCCCAUAACCCCUCAAUAAUCUGUGAUGGUGUGAAAAGCUGGUCCGUUGGUCCACAGCCAGGACGGAAUCCGCAUUUUCUCCUCAAUCUUCAACUAUUGGUCAGUCUCCUUUCCAGUACCUUGGCACAGACUUUCCCAGGGAGGUUGAGCAAUGUGAUACCCUGAUAGUUGGUGCAUGCCCUCUGGUCCCCCAUUUUUAAUUUUUUGGCCACAACAGCCCCACAAUAUCCAGAGCCUUAAGCAUCUCUGGAAGGGUCUCGGCACCAGGGGUGGAUUUGCCACUGAGGAGCUAACCAACUACCUCAGUGACCUCCACCAGGGAACUGGAACUUGACAUUCCAGGAGCCUCCUGGCCCUGCCUCCCGUGAGGGAGGCACAUCUCCUGGAUUAAAGAGUUCUUCAGUGAUCCUUCCACCAACCGACAAUAUCCUCAUUUGAAGUCAGUUUCUCGACCCUUGCCAAAUGCAGCUUAGGCGCAGCCACCCCGACUACUCCGGAGUCAAAUCAAAUUUUAUCUGUAUAGCGCUUUUUACAACGGAUGUUGUCACGAAGCAGCUUUGCAGAAUUUCGGAAAAGAGUUUAGAAAAGACAGUUUUAACAGGACUGCAAGAAUGUACAGGAAAACCCCCGGUGGGCAAGCCAGGGGCAACAGUGGCAAGGAAAAACUCCCUCAGAACUGAGGAAGAAACCUUGGGAGGAACCAGGCUCACCAGGGGGGACCCAUCCUCCUCUGGUCAAACUACCAUCAAGUGAUGCUAUUACUAAUACUAACACUAAUCUUCCGCCAGCUGCGAAAAUUUUCGUAAGGGAAACCAGCGACCAUGUAGCCCACUCCCCUGCUGUGAAGCAAUUAACGCCCAUUGUCUUGGUAAUGAUAUGGAGUGCGGUGGAAGUGGAAACCCCCCAUGCCCACCUCGAGCUCAUACAACUCCCAAAGCAACGAACAUGAUACAACUUCAAGGUAAACUUGAAGUUACAAGUGGACUGUGUUACCGAUCCUACAACAAAAUUUGUAGACCCGUGUUUCAAAAGUUAAAAUUCAAGCGCACGUAGCAGCAGAUGUCGAGACGACUGUCACUAAUGAAUCCCGCUAAACAAUAAAAACUACAGUUUGAAUCUCGCUCUUUGUACAUUUCUUUUACUAUAAUAUAUAAUA
Pygocentrus nattereri (red-bellied piranha) is the source of this 1967-nucleotide long non-coding RNA. The record is from Ensembl. Lineage: Eukaryota; Metazoa; Chordata; Actinopteri; Characiformes; Serrasalmidae.